RNAcentral lists this ribosomal RNA (329 nucleotides) under uncultured eukaryote. RNAcentral's name for it is "partial 18S ribosomal RNA". It matches the Rfam family "Eukaryotic small subunit ribosomal RNA", at positions 1470 to 1796 of the family's 1831-position model. The record is from RNAcentral.
CCCUUAGAUGUUCUGGGCCGCACGCGCGCUACAAUGAUGAAUUCAACGAGUUUAUAACCUUGGUUGAAAAGCCUGGGUAAUCUUUUGAACUUUCGUCGUGAUGGGGCUAGACCCUUGCAAUUAUUGGUCUCCAACGAGGAAUUCCUAGUAAACGCAAGUCAUCAGCUUGCAUUGAUUACGUCCCUGCCCUUUGUACACACCGCCCGUCGCACCUACCGAUUAAAUGGUCCGGUGAAAUCUUCGGAUUGAGACUUUGAUUUCUUCACGGAAAACGCUGUUUUAAAAAGUUGAUUAAACCUUACCAUUUAGAGGAAGGUGAAGUCGUAACA